UGGGGAAUAUUGCACAAUGGGCGCAAGCCUGAUGCAGCCAUGCCGCGUGUAUGAAGAAGGCCUUCGGGUUGUAAAGUACUUUCAGCGGGGAGGAAGGCGAUAAGGUUAAUAACCUUGUCGAUUGACGUUACCCGCAGAAGAAGCACCGGCUAACUCCGUGCCAGCAGCCGCGGUAAUACGGAGGGUGCAAGCGUUAAUCGGAAUUACUGGGCGUAAAGCGCACGCAGGCGGUCUGUCAAGUCGGAUGUGAAAUCCCCGGGCUCAACCUGGGAACUGCAUUCGAAACUGGCAGGCUAGAGUCUUGUAGAGGGGGGUAGAAUUCCAGGUGUAGCGGUGAAAUGCGUAGAGAUCUGGAGGAAUACCGGUGGAGAAGGCGGCCCCAUGGACAAAGACUGACGCUCAGGUGCGAAAGCGUGGGGAGCAAACA
RNAcentral lists this ribosomal RNA (427 nucleotides) under uncultured bacterium. RNAcentral describes it as "partial 16S ribosomal RNA". It matches the Rfam family "Bacterial small subunit ribosomal RNA", at positions 355 to 774 of the family's 1533-position model. The record is from RNAcentral.